UACGUAGGGGGCAAGCGUUGUCCGGAAUCAUUGGGCGUAAAGCGCGCGUAGGCGGCCCGGUAAGUCCGCUCUGAAAGUCCAGGGCUCAACCCUGGAAAGCGGGUGGAUACUGCCGGGCUAGAAUCCGGAAGAGGCGAGUGGAAUUCCUGGUGUAGCGGUGGAAUGCGCAGAUAUCUGGAGGAACACCGGUGGCGAAGGCGACGUCCUGGACCGGUAUUGACGCUGAGGCGCGAAAGCCAGGGGAGCAAACGGG
Molecule: ribosomal RNA, 253 nt
Filed under: uncultured bacterium
Lineage: Bacteria
Description: partial 16S ribosomal RNA
Rfam family: Bacterial small subunit ribosomal RNA
Source: RNAcentral